AUUGAGCCUCAACCAAAUGUGCCAAAAACUCCUCCUAAACCAGCCUUGAGGCCUCUCCAGAAACCAGUUAUUCGGCGUAAACCAAAACCUCAGGAAAAUAAGCCAGUGGAUCCUGAAAAUUUCGUUGUCUUCGAGGACAUCCUGCUUAUUGGACAGGAACGGUGCAUAGAAGAUUGGCCCGAGGACAGCCCUGAGCUUAACCCUGACUUCAAACCGUCUGGGAAACUUCGACUACGGAGGGAGUCACUGAAG
This is a long non-coding RNA of Acanthochromis polyacanthus (spiny chromis), 252 nucleotides long. RefSeq lists it as uncharacterized. NCBI's taxonomy places the organism in Eukaryota, Metazoa, Chordata, Actinopteri, Pomacentridae. The transcript has 4 exons. The record is from RefSeq and is a predicted model, not a curated record.